GACGAACGCUGGCGGCGUGCCUAAUACAUGCAAGUAGAACGCAGUUGCGAACGGGUGAGUCACGCGUAGGUAACUGCCUCAUAGCGGGGGAAAACUUUUGGAAACGAUAGCUAAUAACGCAUACUGUGAGAUGGAACUGCUUGGUAUUAGCCAGGUGGUGAGGUAAAGGCUCACCAAGGCGACGAUACAUAGACGACCUGAGAGGGAGAUCGGCCACACUGGGACUUGGACACGGGCCAGGCUCCCAAGGGAUGCAGCCAUAGGGAAUCUUCGGCAAUUGACGGCAGUCUGACCGAGCAACGCCGCGGGAGAGAAGUAGGUUUUCGGAUCGUAAAGCUCUUUUGUUAGAGGAGCGGUAACUAACCAAAAAGGGACGGCUAACUACGUGCCAGCAGCCGCGGUAAUAC
This 407-nucleotide ribosomal RNA is filed under the name uncultured bacterium. RNAcentral describes it as "partial 16S ribosomal RNA". It matches the Rfam family "Bacterial small subunit ribosomal RNA", at positions 28 to 526 of the family's 1533-position model. The record is from RNAcentral.